AUGAAGCUGGAAUUGCUAGUAAUCACAGGUCAGCAUACUGUGGUGAAUACGUUCCCGGGCCUUGUACACACCGCCCGUCACACCAUGAGAGUUGAGAAUACCCGAAGUCCAUGUCAAAGUGGCCGAAGGUAGGCUUGAUGAUUGGGGUGAAGUCGUAACAAGGUAAC
Molecule: ribosomal RNA, 167 nt
Filed under: uncultured bacterium
Lineage: Bacteria
Description: partial 16S ribosomal RNA
Rfam family: Bacterial small subunit ribosomal RNA
Source: RNAcentral